RNAcentral lists this ribosomal RNA (447 nucleotides) under uncultured bacterium. Its description in RNAcentral is "bacterial SSU rRNA". It matches the Rfam family "Bacterial small subunit ribosomal RNA", at positions 355 to 825 of the family's 1533-position model. The record is from RNAcentral.
UGGGGAAUAUUGGACAAUGGGCGAAAGCCUGAUCCAGCAAUGCCGCGUGAGUGAUGAAGGCCUUAGGGUUGUAAAGCUCUUUUACCAGGGAUGAUAAUGACAGUACCUGGAGAAUAAGCUCCGGCUAACUCCGUGCCAGCAGCCGCGGUAAUACGGAGGGGGCAAGCGUUGUUCGGAAUUACUGGGCGUAAAGCGCGCGUAGGCGGUCGUAUAAGUCGGAUGUGAAAGCCCUUGGCUCAACCAAGGAACUGCGUCCGAUACUGUACGGCUUGAGGCUGGUAGGGGGUAGCGGAAUUCCCGGUGUAGCGGUGGAAUGCGUAGAUAUCGGGAGGAACACCGAUGGCGAAAGCGGCUACCUGGGCCAGAUCUGACGCUGAGGCGCGAAAGCUAGGGGAGCAAACAGGAUUAGAUACCCCAGUAGUCCCUGAGCGGGCUGGCAAGGCGCAU